AUUGAAUGCUGGCGGCAGGCCUAACACAUGCAAGUCGAGCGUGAAAGUCCUUCGGGAUGAGUAAAGCGGCGGACGGGUGAGUAACGCGUAGGAAUCUACCUAAUAGUGGGGGAUAACGUUUCGAAAGGAACGCUAAUACCGCAUACGUUCUGAGGAAGAAAGCAGGGGAUCGUAAGACCUUGCGCUAUUAGAUGAGCCUGCGUCCGAUUAGCUAGUUGGUGGGUAAAGGCCUACCAAGGCGACGAUCGGUAACUGGUCUGAGAGGAUGAUCAGUCACACUGGAACUGAGACAC
RNAcentral lists this ribosomal RNA (293 nucleotides) under uncultured bacterium. Its description in RNAcentral is "partial 16S ribosomal RNA". It matches the Rfam family "Bacterial small subunit ribosomal RNA", at positions 30 to 327 of the family's 1533-position model. The record is from RNAcentral.